AUGCUUGUUUGUUAGCAAUCUUAAAGUUACAUAAUAUUCUUCUUAAGAAACCAACUCCAAUACAAGAGGAUUGCGACGAUGAAAGGUGGAAAUAUUUCAAGGUGCCCUUGAUGGUACAAUGAUUCUAGUUAAUGUUCCUUGUGAAGAUCGAUCCAAAUAUCGCACUAGAAAAGGUACCCUUGCUAUGAAUGUACUAGGAGUAUGCUCACCUGAAAUGGAAUUUAUAUAUGUCUUACCUGGUUGGGAGGGAUCGGCACAUGAUGGUUGGAUUCUUCGAGAUGCUAUUUCUAGGCCUAAUGGGUUGAAAGUUCCAAAAGGUAAUUUGAUUGACGUAGUAGACUUUAUUUGAAAUUGACUUAGUAAGAGAGUAAUUUUUUUUAAAAAAAAAUUUUCAAGGUUGUUAUUAUCUAUGUGACGGAGGAUAUACUAAUGGAGAGGGAUUCCUUGCAACAUACAGAGGCAUCUUAUCAUCUUAGAGAAUGGAAUAAUGGCCCCCGUCAACCUCAAACCGCCGAAGAAUAUUUCAACUUAAGGCAUGCAAAAGCUAGAUAUGUGAUUGAGAGAUGCUUUGGGUUACUCAAGGGAAGAUGGGGAAUUCUUAGAAGUCCUUCUUGGUUUAGUUUACAAACACAUGGUCGAAUUGUGCUUGGUUGUGCCUUAUUACAUAACUUGGUAAAAAGAUACAUGCUUGAAGAAUUUGAUGAUGAUGACUUGUUUGAGGAAAGUGAUAGUGAUGAUGAUGAUGAUGGUGAUGGUGAUGCUAGUGAUGAAGAUGAUGUGGAGUACAUAACCUCCAUUGCUGUAACCAAUCCAUGGACUAAUUUUCAAAAUACAAUGGCCCAAAAUAUGUUCAAUGAUUGGAGGGCUAGACCCACAGAGUUACUUUGUGAUAUUAUUCUUGUUUGGUAAACAACAUUGUAUUUGUUAUUUGAACUUGAGACUUGUACCUUUGUUUCAAUUUCGUGUUAUUUUUUUAUUUUUAUUGUUGUAUCAAGUUAUGGAUGUUGUGUUGGACUUAUAAUAAUUUCCUUUAUGUACUUGUAUUGAAUAUUUUUUUUGUUAAUUUCAUUUUUAUAUAUAUGCAAUGUUAUUUUGACAUGUUAAUAUGGUUCAAAUUUUUUAGUAGGAUGGAUAAAAGUAGUGCAAGUGGAGGUGGAAGGGGAAAAAAACAAACGAUUUUGGACCGCUCAAGAAGAUAAAGUUCUUGUAGAAGCAUUGUCAGAGCUAGCUGUUGAUCCUCAUUGGAAGUGUGAAAAUGGGUUCAGAAUCGGCUACAUGGUUCGCUUAGAGGAGAUCAUAGGUAAGGCUCUUCCUGGUUGUGGGUUGAAGGCUAUACCACACAUCGAUUCUCGACUAAAGACACUUGGAGCAAAGUUUAGGGCUAUUUCUACUAUGUUAAAUACUAGUGGAUUCGUUUGGGAUGAUUCCAAAAAAUGGUUUAUGUGGACCGGGCUGUUUAUGAUGAGUUUUGCAAGAAACAUCCAAGCUGCAAAAACUUGUAUGGAGUUUCAUUUCCCUACUUCCAUGAACUCAUGAAUGUUUAUGGCAAGGAUUAUGCAACUGGAAAACCAGCUGAAGAUUUUGUUGAAGCAAUCAACAAUUUGCAAACUAUUGCCC
This is a long non-coding RNA of Chenopodium quinoa (quinoa), 1617 nucleotides long. RefSeq lists it as uncharacterized. The transcript is spliced from 3 exons. The record is from RefSeq and is a predicted model, not a curated record. NCBI's taxonomy places the organism in Eukaryota, Viridiplantae, Streptophyta, Magnoliopsida, Caryophyllales, Amaranthaceae.